Molecule: ribosomal RNA, 123 nt
Filed under: Umbilicaria antarctica
Lineage: Eukaryota; Fungi; Ascomycota; Lecanoromycetes; Umbilicariales; Umbilicariaceae
Description: 5.8S ribosomal RNA
Rfam family: 5.8S ribosomal RNA
About the family: 5.8S ribosomal RNA (5.8S rRNA) is a component of the large subunit of the eukaryotic ribosome. It is transcribed by RNA polymerase I as part of the 45S precursor that also contains 18S and 28S rRNA.
Source: RNAcentral
CUUUCAACAACGGAUCUCUUGGUUCUGGCAUCGAUGAAGAACGCAGCGAAAUGCGAUAAGUAAUGUGAAUUGCAGAAUUCAGUGAAUCAUCGAAUCUUUGAACGCACAUUGCGCCCCCCGGUA